Molecule: transfer RNA, 73 nt
Filed under: Ailuropoda melanoleuca (giant panda)
Lineage: Eukaryota; Metazoa; Chordata; Mammalia; Carnivora; Ursidae
Rfam family: tRNA
About the family: Transfer RNA (tRNA) molecules are approximately 80 nucleotides in length.
Source: Rfam by way of RNAcentral
ACCUGGGUGGCUCAGUUGGAAGAGCAUGAGACUCUUGAUCUUGGGGUUGUGAGUUUGAGCCCCACGUUGGGUG